AUGGGCAUUGAGCUCCUUCAAUGUUUAUC
Molecule: ribosomal RNA, 29 nt
Filed under: Craterellus indicus
Lineage: Eukaryota; Fungi; Basidiomycota; Agaricomycetes; Cantharellales; Hydnaceae
Description: partial 25S ribosomal RNA
Source: RNAcentral